Molecule: ribosomal RNA, 498 nt
Filed under: uncultured bacterium
Lineage: Bacteria
Description: bacterial SSU rRNA
Rfam family: Bacterial small subunit ribosomal RNA
Source: RNAcentral
AUGAACGCUAGCGACAGGCUAACACAUGCAAGUCGAGGGGUAACAGGGUAGCAAUACCGCUGACGACCGGCGCACGGGUGAGUAACGCGUAUGCAACCUGCCUAUAACUGGGGAAUAGCUCCCUGAAAGGGGGAAUUAACACCGCAUAACACUAUUGAUUCGCAUGGAUUGGUAGUUAAAUGUAGCGAUACAGGUUAUAGAUGGGCAUGCGUGACAUUAGCUAGUUGGUGAGGUAACGGCUCACCAAGGCUACGAUGUCUAGGGGUUCUGAGAGGAAGGUCCCCCACACUGGUACUGAGACACGGACCAGACUCCUACGGGAGGCAGCAGUGAGGAAUAUUGGUCAAUGGGCGCAAGCCUGAACCAGCCAUGUCGCGUGCAGGAAGACUGCCCCCUAUGGGUUGUAAACUGCUUUUAUAGUAGAAGAAACACAUCUACGUGUAGAUGUCUGCCAGUAUACUAUGAAUAAGCAUCGGCUAACUCCGUGCCAGCAGCAGC